RNAcentral lists this ribosomal RNA (497 nucleotides) under uncultured bacterium. Its description in RNAcentral is "partial 16S ribosomal RNA". It matches the Rfam family "Bacterial small subunit ribosomal RNA", at positions 28 to 507 of the family's 1533-position model. The record is from RNAcentral.
GAUGAACGCUGGCGGCGUGCCUAAUACAUGCAAGUCGAGCGAACGGACGUGAAGCUUGCUUCUCUGAUGUUAUCGGCGGACGGGUGAGUAACACGUGGCUAACCUACCUAUAAGACUGGGCUAACUUCGGGAACCCGGAGCUAAUACCGGAUAAUCUUUUGAACCGCAUGGUUCAAAAGUGAAAGACGGUCUUGCUGUCACUUAUAGAUGGAUCCGCGCUGCAUUAGCUAGUUGGUAAGGUAACGGCUUACCAAGGCAACGAUGCAUAGCCGACCUGAGAGGGUGAGCGGCCACACUGGAACUGAGACACGGUCCAGACUCCGACGGGAGGCAGCAGUAGGGAAGCUUCCGCAAUGAGCGAAAGCCUGACGGAGCAACGCCGCGGGAGUGAUGAAGGUCUUCGGAUCGUAAAACUCUGUUAUUAGGGAAGAAGAUAUGUGUAAGUAACUGUGCACAUCUUGACGGUACCUAAUCAGAAAGCCACGGCUAACUACGUG